UCAUUCUUGUCUGAGUCUUUUAUUUAGGCCAGUUUCUACUGCUAUCCCUCCAAGUUCAUUAAUAUUUUCUUCUGAUUGUAAAGACUGGGGGACCUCUUUCUUAAUGUCCAGUGACCUUAGUCUUAAUAUUUGGUGCAGUAUAU
Molecule: small nucleolar RNA, 143 nt
Organism: Callithrix jacchus (white-tufted-ear marmoset)
Lineage: Eukaryota; Metazoa; Chordata; Mammalia; Primates; Cebidae
Source: Ensembl